Molecule: ribosomal RNA, 773 nt
Filed under: uncultured Eubacterium sp.
Lineage: Bacteria; Bacillati; Bacillota; Clostridia; Eubacteriales; Eubacteriaceae
Description: bacterial SSU rRNA
Rfam family: Bacterial small subunit ribosomal RNA
Source: RNAcentral
GAUGCGUAUUGGAAAGCUUCGGCCGGAAGAUACGUUAUCUAGUGGCGGACGGGUGAGUAACACGUGGGUAACCUGCCUUAUGGAGGGGGAUAACAGAGAGAAAUCACUGCUAAUACCGCAUAAGCACACAGUACCGCAUGGUACAGGGUGAAAAGAUUUAUCGCCAUAAGAUGGACCCGCGUCUGAUUAGCCAGUUGGCAGGGUAAAAGCCUACCAAAGCAACGAUCAGUAGCCGAUCUGAGAGGAUGACCGGCCACAUUGGGACUGAGACACGGCCCAAACUCCUACGGGAGGCAGCAGUGGGGAAUAUUGCACAAUGGGGGAAACCCUGAUGCAGCGACGCCGCGUGAGUUAAGAAGUAUUUCGGUAUGUAAAGCUCUAUCAGCAGGGAAGAUAAUGACAGUUCCUGACUAAGAAGCCCCGGCUAACUACGUGCCAGCAGCCGCGGUAAUACGUAGGGGGCAAGCGUUAUCCGGAUUUACUGGGUGUAAAGGGAGCGUAGACGGAAUGGCAAGUCUGAAGUGAAAUACCCGGGCUCAACCUGGGAACUGCUUUGGAAACUGUUGUUCUAGAGUGUUGGAGAGGUAAGUGGAAUUCCUGGUGUAGCGGUGAAAUGCGUAGAUAUCAGGAAGAACACCGGAGGCGAAGGCGGCUUACUGGACAAUAACUGACGUUGAGGCUCGAAAGCGUGGGGAUCAAACAGGAUUAGAUACCCUGGUAGUCCACGCUGUAAACGAUGAAUACUAGGUGUCGGGGUACAAAGCAUCUCGGUG